This 440-nucleotide ribosomal RNA is filed under the name uncultured bacterium. RNAcentral's name for it is "partial 16S ribosomal RNA". It matches the Rfam family "Bacterial small subunit ribosomal RNA", at positions 338 to 795 of the family's 1533-position model. The record is from RNAcentral.
CCUACGGGAGGCAGCAGUGGGGAAUAUUGCACAAUGGGGGAAACCCUGAUGCAGCGACGCCGCGUGCGUGAAGAAGUAAUUCGUUAUGUAAAGCUCUAUCAGCAGGGAAGAAAAUGACGGUACCUGAGUACGAAGCCCCGGCUAACUACGUGCCAGCAGCCGCGGUAAUACGGAGGGGGCAAGCGUUCUCCGGAUUUACUGGGGGUAACGGGAGCGUAGACGGCAGUGCAAGUCUGGAGUGAAAGGCGGGGGCUCAACCCCCGGACCGCUCUGGAAACUGUACGGCUGGAGUGCAGGAGAGGUAAGUGGAAUUCCAAGUGUAGCGGUGAAAUGCGUAGAGAUUAGGAGGAACACCAGUGGCGAAGGCGGCUUACUGGACUGUAACUGACGUUGAGGCUCGAAAGCGUGGGGAGCAAACAGGAUUAGAUACCCCUGUAGUC